Molecule: non-coding RNA, 3738 nt
Organism: Sus scrofa (pig)
Lineage: Eukaryota; Metazoa; Chordata; Mammalia; Artiodactyla; Suidae
Source: RefSeq, a predicted model, not a curated record
GGCCUGUCCAAUGGAGUGUCAAGCAAAUCACAGACUGAGGUGGUUUACACAUUGGUUCUAUAAUUAUUUAAUGAGUUCAUACCUUAGGUGCUGGGGAUGAGAUGAAAGGCUUUUCUCUAGAGUGAUGGGGGGCUGUCUCCUCAGAACUAACUCCCUGGCCAGUGGUCAAACAAGAAUUGGCUUGCUAGCUCCACCCUGGAAGAAUUGUGUAAAAGGCCUCUAGAGUUCAAGCUUUCACUUUUCUCUUGCCUCUGACCAUUCUGAUGUUUCCUCUGAGACACACUGGCAGGCUGUCCGUGAUGGGGCUCUGCUCAGAAGACCCCCCCUCCUCUGCUGAGCCUCCCUGGCCCUGGGAUAAAGCAGUCUCCUUCUCAGCUUGCAUCGAUGAGCGGGGCUGCCUGGAGCAGAGCUGUUGACCCAGGAAGGCAGCAAAGUGUGGGUGGAUGAUGUAUGUGAAAACACACAGUGAGACCUGCCCACCAGGGCACCAGGUAGGUUCUAAAGUGAUGCUGCUUAUUCAUUCAUGCUACAAUUAUUUAUUGAGUGUCUACUGUGGUGCUGGGAGUUGAGUGCCUAUUAUGAUUCAGCAAAGAAGAAAUCAGGAAUACAGAGAUAAUAAAGUUCAAUUCCAACCCUCAAGUGGCUUAUGGCCUUCAGGGAGAAACUCAAACAACGAUUAUAGAAAAAGGAAAUUGCACCACUACUGAUGCUAUAUGCAAAAAUGCAGUUAUGAGUAUAGAAGCAUCUUCCAUUGGCCUGAACUCAGAGAAGUCUUCAGAGAUAAAGCAUGUGAAGGCUAUUGACAGGUAACCAGGUCUGACUGGAUUGCACUGUUCUUCUCUGUGUCAUCUGCAGCUGAACAGGCAGCCUGACAUGAGGCUCCUGUUCCAGGGCUUAAAUCUCUGUUGAGGCUCCCAACUCCUGGGCCAUUUGCCUCCUGAAAGUUCAGGAUCCCUGGGAAUGCAUGGCAAUUAAAUAGAGUCAGGAUAUAAGGUCCUGCCCACCCAGAGAGCUGUUAAGCAGGGUCUGGACAGCUGAGUCACAGGGGGCAGCAGAGACAGUGUGAGCCACCCACACUAUUGCACCCACCAUGUUGCAGCUCAAUCACUUGGAUUCUCACCCCUGGUUCCAAAAGACCCGCUUCCCAGCAACUCCCUUUGCAGGAAGCCAGGGCAAAUAAAAGGGUGCUUCCCUUUCUUUCCUGCCCUUGGGGAAUAACGAUUGCUCUGCACAGGAAACACUGAAACCACUCUGUCAUUCAGCCCUUCUGAAAAAAACUGCCAACCAAGCUGGAGUUGGGUCUUGGAUCUCCUUUAGAUCUAGAAGUUAAAGGAGAAAUGAGUUUCCACACUAGAACAGAAAUCUGCAAUUAGGCUGUCACAAAAUUAGAGAAAUACUUAUAAAUCGUAUGUUUAUAAAGCAUGUUUAUUGCACCACAUUUUUUUUGUUUUAGAAAAUAGAAGGGUUUUUUUUUUCAUAAAAAAAUGUUAUUUCUUUAAACGUGUCGGGGGUUCAUAACAAGUUUUGUGGCUUAAACUUUGUAACUUUAAUGUAGCACCCAUUUAUUGCCCCACAGUUCUAUAGGUGAGAAAUUUAACAUAGCAUGGCUAGAUUAUCUGAUCAGGGCCUCACAAAGCUGACAUCAAGGUGUCAGCUGACAGCACUUUGAUCUGGAGCUUGGGGUCCUCCUCUAAAGAGAUUUUUAUUGUUGGAAGAAUUCAGUUCCUUGUGGUUACAGGUCUUGCUAACAUGUUAGCCAGAGACAAUAUCCAACUCCUAGAGGCCGCUCUCAAGUCCUAAGCCAGGGUCCCUCCACUGCAGCCGUGAAGAAUCUCUCAUGUUUCCACAACCUCUCUUCCUCUUUCUCCACCCGCUGGAGAAAACUGCUUUGAAAGGGUUCACGUGGUUAUGUUAGGCCCUUCCAAUAAUCUCCCUUUCUGAAAGUUACAUAAUCUAAUCACAGGAGUAAACGCUAUCCUAGCACAGUUGAGGGGAUGAGAGUGGGAAAUCUUGGGAACCAUUUAAGAAAUAUAUACAUGAUUUAUAUUUGUAUUUAUGGUACAUUAAAUAUGCAAUAUUUUUCUACACAAGAACUACACAUGCAGCAUAUCCUUCUCUUCCAUGCACUCCUCUGCCCCUGUCCCCUCGGUUGCAGAGAUGUGAUCAGUACUUGGUACCUGAGAGUGGCUGGAGAAGCCAGCCACUGUCAACACGAUGCAAUUAAUGUCUUCUUAAAGUCAGUGACUAUUGAACAUAAAGGCUCUAACAGGACCACAAGUCUCCCUUCUGUGUAAUGGAUAUACAGAUACAUGGCUUCCUGGAAUUGAAUCUGUCAUCUGGUACUGUCCCCUGGUCUCUGGGGAGGCAUCUCUGAGAGGGGUGCUUGAUGAAAGGGCACUGGCUGGGGGACUGGGAGCACCAGGCUCCCAACUGGGAACACUGGCUAUGUCUAUGGUCUUCGUCCAAUAAUAACAGUAAUAGCUUUGUUGAGUAUUGUUUAGACCAGACUUUGUGCUUAAAGUUUAUAAAGAUUUUUAUCUUAGAAAAGAGACCUCAUUGUCCAUGCCAAACCUGCAAGUGCUGUUUACAUGACAUAAGGAAUGAUAGACAGCUAGGUAUGGAGGGUCAUGGGCUUAGGGUCUGUGAGAGUCAGUCUCUAUUUCCAGAAGAGCCUAGAAUGCAGCCAGUAAUUGCUCUCUACUGCUCUAAUGGCAUUUAUAACACAGGGCCAGAGGAGAGCAAUAUGCAUCAGAAGUCUAUGGGCAACUUUUGGCCACAUAGAGGACCAGAGACACUUAGAGGCCUGAGGGAAGUUUGCUAAAGUCUCUACAGUGAAGGAAAAUUUGUGCACUGAUAGGAGUGCCUAUUAUAUUGCAGUUUGCUGUAAGGGGCCACAUUAAAAGAGGGAUGGUUUGUGAGUAACAACAGAAAUGGGCUUAAGGCAAAUUUGUAAAGGCAUCAGAACCCAAAAGGCUUAAUAGAUAUUGGACUUGCUUUAAUGGUGUGAGUGCUGAAAGGGUCAAUAGCUGUUUCUUGACAGUGUUGGGAAUAGAGCAACACUUGCGUUCCCAAAUAUAAUUUUUAGGAACUUAACCAAGGUGGCAGGGUCUUUUACUGUGUGGGAGUGAUAGCCCAUCUCUUUGUGAGCUCCCUUGUCAGGAUUUGUAGGUCCUGAAUGAGUAUAUCAAAUGAUUUAGCAACCUCACUUAUGGGUAUAUCUCCAAAAGCAUUGGAAUUAGGACCUCAAAGAGAUAUUGGCACCUGUAUAUUCACUGCAGUGUGAUUCAUACAACCCAAAUAUCCAUCAGCAGGUGGGUAGAUAAGGGAAAUGUGGUAUAUGCAUAACAGUGGAAUAUUAUGCAGCCUUUAAAAGGAUGAACUCUUAUUUGUGAUAACAUGGAUACACUUUUAAGACAUUAUGCUCGGUGAAAUAAGCCAGUCACAGAAUAACAAAUAUGGCAUGAUUUUGCAUAGGCAGUACCUAAAAUAGGCAAAAGUAUAGAAGUAGACAAUAUAGUAUUGGUUAUCAGGGGUUAGGGGUCAAGGAAUAUGGAAUAUUUAAUGGAUACAGAGCUACACAAGAUGAGUAUGUUACAGAGAUCUGCCAUAAAGCAGAGUGCCUAUAGUUAACAAUAAGGUAUUGUGUACUGAAAACUUAAGAAGGUACAUCUCCUAUUCAGCAUUCUUACCAUGCACACAUGGAUGCACACAUAACACACACACACACACACACACACA